UGACAGGAGACCGGGAGGAACAAGUUUCCCUCCGUGUGCUUUCCCCGUCCGUCUGUCCGUCUCUCCUGGAGGCCCUACAGGGAUCUCCACGGGAAGGGAGGCGCUGGGGGUCUGCGCCCAGGGCGGUGGGGAUGACUCUGGCUGCUACAUGGAAAAUGGGUUAUGAGUGGAUCAAGAGAAGAAGUAAAGAGGCCAGAGUUCAGGGUGGACCUG
This is a non-coding RNA of Ceratotherium simum simum (southern white rhinoceros), 213 nucleotides long. The record is from RefSeq and is a predicted model, not a curated record. NCBI's taxonomy places the organism in Eukaryota, Metazoa, Chordata, Mammalia, Perissodactyla, Rhinocerotidae.